This is a long non-coding RNA of Ananas comosus (pineapple), 1379 nucleotides long. RefSeq lists it as uncharacterized. The record is from RefSeq and is a predicted model, not a curated record. The transcript has 2 exons. Lineage: Eukaryota; Viridiplantae; Streptophyta; Magnoliopsida; Poales; Bromeliaceae.
GGGAGGGUGGUAAUUUAUUUAGUUGCUGUCUCACAUCUUUAUGAAAUGAUGUGACGAAGUUGCAACAGGAGCUAAUGAAAGUACAAUGUCGAUCUCAGCACACAGUAUUCCAAUUCUGAUGCAUGAUAGUUGAAUCAGCAACCACAUAAUCCUGAAAAGUUUAAUGUCGUUGCUAAAAGAAAUUCAACACAAUGAACUAAUGGAGACAAAACUUACAGAAGUUCAUAGACUCAAUUACAAUAAGUCGAUGUUUUAUAACCUAAGGACAUGUUUGAUUGUGUAAAAGAGGUUGAAGCGAAAAAAAUUAUUUCUAUAAAAGUGAUUUUUACGAAAGUAAUUUUUGUAUUUGAUUAUUUUGUUUGCUAUAAAGUGAAAAAUAGAAAAUUACAUUUUUGUGGAUUCGAUUGUUUGAUUAUUUGAUUAUAUAUAAUUUGAAUUCAUGAUUUGAAUCUAAUUUUGAUGUACUAUUUGAUCUUAAGUUUUGAAUUCAAAUGAAUUUAUAAUUUGAAUUAAAAUUUAAAUUUGAGUUUAAAUCAUAAUUCAAAUUGAAUAUUUGUGAUAUCCCUGGAGUACAGCAGUGGAGGCUUGUCGACACGUCGUGAGAGUGUCGGGACAAGUCCGAGUCGCGUUUGGCGCGAAAUUGACGCAAAACGGAUUCAGUGGGGACGCGAGAGCAGGAGUCAGCAUUGGAAUCUGCAAAUUGCAAAUUUUCUGCUUAUUGUACUGGUAUAACAUCAGAGGUGUAUCGGUAUACUUUCUGUACCGGUACAAUAUCGGAUGUGUACCGGUACACUUCACCUGUUUCCGCGCAGCUGCUCUCGGGUUGCCAUUUGUACCGGUACAACCACCCAUGUACCGGUACACCAGGGUAGGUGAGAGGGUAUUUUGGUCUUUCCAUGUCUCGUACGUGUCACCCUCCUUCCCCACUGCUAUAUACAUGUGUUGAGAGGCUGAGAGAGAGAGUUUUGCUUGUUUCUUCCCCUCUCUCUCUCUAGACUCGGCCGUGCGUGGUGGAGUUGCUGUUGGAGCUCGGAUCGACGCCGAUGUCGCGCCGGGGAGCCGUUCGAGCGUGUGUUCGUCGUGGUAGCGUCGUCGGGAGGCCGGGUGAGAGUGUGGUUUCGCUGUUUUCGACUUCCCGCCGGGUUGGGAGUAGCUUUUGAGAGCUUUCUGUUCCGGCUGCUGCAUCUUCCGAGACCGAUCGUGGCAAGGGCGUUGCGAGCUAGAGCCCUUCCAGACGAUGGAGUACCUUCCGCAGGUAGUUGUAUUUUGGUUUGAGUUCAUGUACAUAUAGAUGUUUAACUCGCCAGUGCGAGUAGUUUUGUACCCUCGAUGUUAUGUAUGUCUAUGGAACUUGGUUUUCUUUCAGUUCUUUUUUUUUU